This 214-nucleotide long non-coding RNA is filed under the name Physcomitrium patens. Its description in RNAcentral is "long non-coding RNA (PPAT_LNC002977)". The record is from RNAcentral. Lineage: Eukaryota; Viridiplantae; Streptophyta; Bryopsida; Funariales; Funariaceae.
GAAGAACUAAUUUAAGAAUUGAGUUGGCAAAGCUAAAGAGGUCAUAAGUCUUUUUUACUUACACUACUUAUAGAGCCAAAGUCUUGGAGUCCAAACCUCUUGUGUCUUGCCAAGCAAGCUAGUAAAUGACUUGUGUACCAAGUCUCAAGAAGCUUCCCAAAAAGACUUGCAAUGGCAUCUGUUGUAAGUGGCUUGAUUUCUAUGCUAUUCUAGA